Molecule: ribosomal RNA, 498 nt
Filed under: Starmerella bacillaris
Lineage: Eukaryota; Fungi; Ascomycota; Dipodascomycetes; Dipodascales; Trichomonascaceae
Description: partial large subunit ribosomal RNA
Rfam family: Eukaryotic large subunit ribosomal RNA
Source: RNAcentral
GAGGAAAAGAAACCAACAGGGAUUGCCCUAGUAACGGCGAGUGAACAGGCAAGAGCUCAGAUUUGAAAGGCACUUUUGUGCCGUUGUAUUCUGAAGUUAGGGUCCUGAGAAACGAUGCUUAAGUCUUCUGGAAAGGAGCGCCAUGGAGGGUGAUAGCCCCGUCUAGCAUUGACCUCAUAUAGGAUCUUAACAUGGAGUCGAGUUGUUUGGGAAUGCAGCUCAAAUGGGUGGUAUGCUCCAUCUAAAGCUAAAUAUCUGCGAGAGACCGAUAGUAAACAAGUACUGUGAGGGAAAGAUGAAAAGAACUUUGAAAAGAGAGUGAAAAAGUACGUGAAAUUGUUGAAAUGGAAGGGUAGGCCGCUAACCAUGUAGAGCCGUGUUUGGGGGGAAGAUAAAUGCUGUAGAAUGUAGCUCCUCGGAGUAUUAUAGAUGCAGUUCAUAUUCCCACCCGAGCGCGAGGAUCUCAGGUUCUACUAAAUGGUGGUCUACCACCCGUCU